UUGCAAAUUCAAAGUGAACUCUUCAAUGUUAAGUUUGAUGGUUGGAAUUUCACAUGAAUCCUCAUUGAAGGCAUCCUCUAUAUCACUUAGGUAUACUUGUGAGCAUUCUGGCUCUGGAGAUGUCGGCUCUUCAAUGAUAGGGAGAGGCAACCGCAACUGAUUGAUGAGUACUGAUGGAUUCUGAUCAGUCGCACUAUUUCCAGCUGUGGUAACUAUACUCUUCUGCUCUGGUCCAGGCAGGGCAAGCCUUGCACUGCAUGCAAUAUAGUAUUCAACUGUUAUCUAAGUAGCAUUUUGAUGAGAAUAUAAUGCAAUGAGUGCUGUCAUCAUUAUAAUGAGUUAGCUAGUGUUGUAUUACUGGGUACAUGAACUUUGUAUUCCUAGCAUUCUGUCUCUCAAGUUCCUUACCUAUUGUUCCAACAAAGUUACAUGCAGUGCCUUGUAGAGUUCUAACUUACGAGUAAUGACUUCUGAAUGAUGCUGUACAAUGAUUUAUCUUUUCAUGCAAAGAAUUUAAAUAUAUUAUAUCCA
Lotus japonicus is the source of this 531-nucleotide long non-coding RNA. RefSeq lists it as uncharacterized. The record is from RefSeq and is a predicted model, not a curated record. The transcript has 2 exons. Lineage: Eukaryota; Viridiplantae; Streptophyta; Magnoliopsida; Fabales; Fabaceae.